GCCUGAGCGGGGAUUUUUUUUAUAUAUAUCAAACUGCUGCUUACGUCUCAUUGCUUUGGGCAAUGAGACAGGAAAUGUCUGUCGUUUCACACCUCUAAACCCACUUACAGCGACGUGUAAGGCAACAGUGGCAAGUUCAGAAAAAGGACGACUUCCUCUCACCUCACGCUCACUUCUGUUACUGUUUGAGUUGUCCGUUUCCUGUAAAUCAAUUUAUGAUGAAACCAGAACAUCACAAGGGAAAGACAAGUUAAAUGAUUUUACAGGGGUUUAAUGGAAUAAUCUACAUUAGUAAAGCUCAGUUUUAUCAAUUACGAUAAAAAGUCGAUUUUUUAGUUACAGAUUUCAUUGUUGUGUGAGAGAGUGCAUGGAUUAACUGAUGUGAACAUCUGCUUAUGUUCUCGGCGUCUCGUGUGCUUCUUCUUCUUUCUCUUCACACAAAGUCGUAGAAGUUUUCAGACGUGUCACAGCUGGAUGUGAGGAUGGGACCCACUUUCCUCUGUGAGCUGGGCCUAUUCUUUCUCUGUACGCUCCUCUGCAGCGGACACGCUCAAGAUGCUGUGCUAACUGUUAAACCCAGCUCGACCUUGUUCAUUGAAGAGACUGUUAGCUUCAAAUGUGACAUGAAGGAAGGAGAACACACUGACUGGGAAUACAAACUCAACAAGGAUGGUCGAGCCUUUAUCCAGUACAGCACAUACAAAAAUUACAGAAAACAAAUGAAGUCUCCCUCUGAUACUGGUAAAUACCAGUGCUCUGGUCAUAUGAAGAAAUCACAUUAUACAAAGAACAGUAAUACUGUCUCCCUAACUGUGCUGGCAGGUAAACCCAGGGCCACACUGACUCCAGGAUCAACUAUAUACCAGUAGGGGGCAGUGUGACACUGACCUGCUCUGUGGGGAGCUCUGCUGGGUGGAAAUAUGAGUGGUUCAGACGUGACCAAAACACUGACGUUAAAAUCAGAACAGAUGAUCAACAAAACAGAGUAAUCAGAGUAUCUGAAGGAGGAACCUACCACUGCAGAGGAAGAAGAGGAAACCCAGUUUACUACACUGAUAAAAGUGAUGAUGUCACCAUUGAGAUAACCUUUUCAGUUCUACAAUUCAAUUUCAGUUCCAAAAUUCAGUUUUUGGGACUUACAUCCGG
Oreochromis aureus is the source of this 1146-nucleotide long non-coding RNA. The record is from Ensembl. Lineage: Eukaryota; Metazoa; Chordata; Actinopteri; Cichliformes; Cichlidae.